RNAcentral lists this ribosomal RNA (520 nucleotides) under uncultured Glomus. RNAcentral's name for it is "SSU rRNA". It matches the Rfam family "Eukaryotic small subunit ribosomal RNA", at positions 569 to 1092 of the family's 1831-position model. Lineage: Eukaryota; Fungi; Glomeromycota; Glomeromycetes; Glomerales; Glomeraceae. The record is from RNAcentral.
AGCAGCCGCGGUAAUUCCAGCUCCAAUAGCGUAUAUUAAAGUUGUUGCAGUUAAAAAGCUCGUAGUUGAAUUUCGGGGUCAGUAGGUCGGUCGUGCCACUGGUAUGAACUGGUUUCACUGAUUCCUCCCUCUUGUAGAACCGUGAUGCCAUUAAUUUGGUGUUGCGGGGAAACAGGACUGUUACUUUGAAAAAAUUAGAGUGUUUAAAGCAAGCUAACGCUUGAAUACAUUAGCAUGGAAUAAUGAAAUAGGACGUCGAUCUUAUUUUGUUGGUUUCUAGGGUUGACGUAAUGAUUAAUAGGGAUAGUUGGGGGCAUUAGUAUUCAAUUGUCAGAGGUGAAAUUCUUGGAUUUAUUGAAGACUAACUACUGCGAAAGCAUUUGCCAAGGAUGUUUUCAUUAAUCAAGAACGAAAGUUAGGGGAUCGAAGACGAUCAGAUACCGUCGUAGUCUUAACCAUAAACUAUGCCGACUAGGGAUCGGAUGAUGUUAAUUUUUAAUGACUCAUUCGGCGCCUUACG